AACGAGCUCACGACGCGUUUUUGGCUAAAAACGGUAUUCCGGAUGCCACUGUCAAAUCAAAGACCAUACCUAGGAGUUAUAUUUAGUUAAAAAAGUGUUCGGGUUCAUAUUAUGUAACAAAAAUAUAAAGGU
Molecule: long non-coding RNA, 132 nt
Organism: Vanessa tameamea
Lineage: Eukaryota; Metazoa; Arthropoda; Insecta; Lepidoptera; Nymphalidae
Exons: 2
Source: RefSeq, a predicted model, not a curated record